GACGAACGCUGGCGGCGUGCUUAACACAUGCAAGUCGAACGGAAAGGCCCCUUUGGGGGUACUCGAGUGGCGCACGGGUGAGUAACACGUGAGUAACCUGCCCUUGACUUCGGGAUAACUUCAGGAAACUGGGGCUAAUACCGGAUAGGAAUCCUUGCUGCAUGGUGGGGGUUGGAAAGCUUCGGCGGUUUUGGAUGGACUCGCGGCUUAUCAGCUUGUUGGUGGGGUAGUGGCUUACCAAGGCUUUGACGGGUAGCCGGCCUGAGAGGGCGACCGGCCACAUUGGGACUGAGAUACGGCCCAGACGCCUACGGGAGGCAGCAGGGGGGAAUAUUGCACAAUGGGCGGAAGCCUGAUGCAGCAACGCCGCGUGCGGGAUGACGGCCUUCGGGUUGUAAACCGCUUUCAGCAGGGGCGAAGCUUGUGGUGACGGUACCUGCAGAAGAAGCACCGGCUAACUACGUG
RNAcentral lists this ribosomal RNA (465 nucleotides) under uncultured bacterium. Its description in RNAcentral is "partial 16S ribosomal RNA". It matches the Rfam family "Bacterial small subunit ribosomal RNA", at positions 28 to 507 of the family's 1533-position model. The record is from RNAcentral.